RNAcentral lists this ribosomal RNA (815 nucleotides) under Lactobacillus gasseri. RNAcentral's name for it is "bacterial SSU rRNA". It matches the Rfam family "Bacterial small subunit ribosomal RNA", at positions 45 to 820 of the family's 1533-position model. Lineage: Bacteria; Bacillati; Bacillota; Bacilli; Lactobacillales; Lactobacillaceae. The record is from RNAcentral.
UGCCUAAUACAUGCAAGUCGAGCGAGCUUGCCUAGAUGAAUUUGGUGCUUGCACCAAAUGAAACUAGAUACAAGCGAGCGGCGGACGGGUGAGUAACACGUGGGUAACCUGCCCAAGAGACUGGGAUAACACCUGGAAACAGAUGCUAAUACCGGAUAACAACACUAGACGCAUGUCUAGAGUUUAAAAGAUGGUUCUGCUAUCACUCUUGGAUGGACCUGCGGUGCAUUAGCUAGUUGGUAAGGUAACGGCUUACCAAGGCAAUGAUGCAUAGCCGAGUUGAGAGACUGAUCGGCCACAUUGGGACUGAGACACGGCCCAAACUCCUACGGGAGGCAGCAGUAGGGAAUCUUCCACAAUGGACGCAAGUCUGAUGGAGCAACGCCGCGUGAGUGAAGAAGGGUUUCGGCUCGUAAAGCUCUGUUGGUAGUGAAGAAAGAUAGAGGUAGUAACUGGCCUUUAUUUGACGGUAAUUACUUAGAAAGUCACGGCUAACUACGUGCCAGCAGCCGCGGUAAUACGUAGGUGGCAUGCGUUGUCCGGAUUUAUUGGGCGUAAAGCGAGUGCAGGCGGUUCAAUAAGUCUGAUGUGAAAGCCUUCGGCUCAACCGGAGAAUUGCAUCAGAAACUGUUGAACUUGAGUGCAGAAGAGGAGAGUGGAACUCCAUGUGUAGCGGUGGAAUGCGUAGAUAUAUGGAAGAACACCAGUGGCGAAGGCGGCUCUCUGGUCUGCAACUGACGCUGAGGCUCGAAAGCAUGGGUAGCGAACAGGAUUAGAUACCCUGGUAGUCCAUGCCGUAAACGAUGAGUGCUAAG